CCCAGACUCCUACGGGAGGCAGCAGUGGGGGAUAUUGCACAAUGGGGGAAACCCUGAUGCAGCGACGCCGCGUGAGUGAAGAAGUAUUUCGGUAUGUAAAGCUCUAUCAGCAGGGAAGAAAGAAGACGGUACCUGAGUAAGAAGCCCCGGCUAACUACGUGCCAGCAGCCGCGGUAAUACGUAGGGGGCAAGCGUUAUCCGGAUUUACUGGGUGUAAAGGGGGCGCAGACGGCAGCGCAAGCCAGGAGUGAAAGCCCGGGGCCCAACCCCGGGACUGCUCUUGGAACUGCGCGGCUGGAGUGCAGGAGGGGCAGGCGGAAUUCCUGGUGUAGCGGUGAAAUGCAUAGAUAUCAGGAGGAACACCGGUGGCGAAGGCGGCCUGCUGGACUGCGACUGACGUUGAGGCCCGAAAGCGUGGGGAGCAAACAGGAUUAGAUACCCGGGUAC
RNAcentral lists this ribosomal RNA (447 nucleotides) under uncultured bacterium. RNAcentral describes it as "partial 16S ribosomal RNA". It matches the Rfam family "Bacterial small subunit ribosomal RNA", at positions 330 to 793 of the family's 1533-position model. The record is from RNAcentral.